UACGGAAGAUCCGAGCGUUAUCCGGAAUUACUGGGCGUAAAGAGUUGCGUAGGUGGCUUCAGAAAGCAAGCAGUGAAAUAUCACGGCUCAACCGUGGGUACAUUGUUUGAACUACUAGGCUUGAGCAUGAGAGAGGUAGAUGGAAUUUCUAGUGUAGGAGUGAAAUCCGUAGAUAUUAGAAGGAACACCGAUGGCGUAGGCAGUCUACUGGCUCAUUGCUGACACUAAGGCACGAAAGCGUGGGGAGCGAACGGG
RNAcentral lists this ribosomal RNA (255 nucleotides) under uncultured bacterium. RNAcentral's name for it is "partial 16S ribosomal RNA". It matches the Rfam family "Bacterial small subunit ribosomal RNA", at positions 524 to 776 of the family's 1533-position model. The record is from RNAcentral.